CAGCUGGUAAAUAUUUAACAGCUAAUUCCCCAGGAGGGGAAAAGCCCUAGAGUGCAGAUUUUUUACAGAGUCCCAAGAUGUCCUUGAAGAGCAGGUUUGAGAGUCUGCAUCUGUGUUUCCGGCGCCCUUCCAACUGGAAUGGCUUCUUCCUAGCAACCCACUGGUCCACGGGCAGUCCAGGAGCCAGCCUUCUGAUCUGGAGGGAGGAGGAUUUGUGGGCGGCCCUAGCCCCUCUGCCCGCUCUCACAGACCCUCUCCAGAAGAAAGACCAGACCGUUGCUCAGUCAACAGUUUGCAAGGAUUCCAAUCAAAGCUUCUACGUCCCUUUGAAGUUCCUUCACAUAAGCCAGACAGGAUUCCCAGAGUCUUCAGGACAGAGCUCUCAGUGGCGGCCCUCAGCCUUUCCAGUCUGGUCUCCAUGAAUAGCUGGACUAGAAACGUGUCUGCAAUCUCACUGAGCAUCAGCGUAUUUUCGAGCUUGUAGUCCAUCACUAAGGGAAACUGAAGUGGGAACCUGGAGACCAGAUGCUGAUGCUGGAGUUACUGAUGCAGAGACCACGGAAGAGCACUGCUUAUCAGCUUGCUCCCCUUGGCUUGCUCAGCCUGUUUUCUUAUCCUACCCAGGACAACCUGCCCCCAAUAGACUAGGCCUUCCCACAUCAAUCACUAAUCAAGAAAAUGUCCCACAGACUUACCUUUUGGCCAUUGUUGGAGGCAUUUCCUCAAUGGAUGUUUCCUCUUCCUGAGUGG
RNAcentral lists this long non-coding RNA (750 nucleotides) under Cricetulus griseus (Chinese hamster). Its description in RNAcentral is "lncRNA (ENSCGRG00015033930.1)". The record is from RNAcentral. Lineage: Eukaryota; Metazoa; Chordata; Mammalia; Rodentia; Cricetidae.